Molecule: ribosomal RNA, 468 nt
Filed under: uncultured bacterium
Lineage: Bacteria
Description: partial 16S ribosomal RNA
Rfam family: Bacterial small subunit ribosomal RNA
Source: RNAcentral
GACGAACGCUGGCGGCGUGCUUAACACAUGCAAGUCGAACGGAAAGGCCCUGCUUUUGUGGGGUGCUCGAGUGGCGAACGGGUGAGUAACACGUGAGUAACCUGCCCUUGACUUUGGGAUAACUUCAGGAGACUGGGGCUAAUACCGGAUAGGAGCUCCUGCUGCAUGGUGGGGGUUGGAAAGUUUCGGCGGUUGGGGAUGGACUCGCGGCUUAUCAGCUUGUUGGUGGGGUAGUGGCUUACCAAGGCUUUGACGGGUAGCCGGCCUGAGAGGGUGACCGGCCACAUUGGGACUGAGAUACGGCCCAGACUCCUACGGGAGGCAGCAGUGGGGAAUAUUGCACAAUGGGCGGAAGCCUGAUGCAGCAACGCCGCGUGCGGGAUGACGGCCUUCGGGCUGUAAACCGCUUUCGCCUGUGACGAAGCGUGAGUGACGGUAAUGGGUAAAGAAGCACCGGCUAACUACGUG